CCUACGGGAGGCAGCAGUGGGGAAUCUUGCGCAAUGGGCGAAAGCCUGACGCAGCCAUGCCGCGUGAAUGAUGAAGGUCUUAGGAUUGUAAAAUUCUUUCACCGGGGACGAUAAUGACGGUACCCGGAGAAGAAGCCCCGGCUAACUUCGUGCCAGCAGCCGCGGUAAUACGAAGGGGGCUAGCGUUGCUCGGAAUUACUGGGCGUAAAGGGAGCGUAGGCGGAUAGUUUAGUCAGAGGUGAAAGCCCAGGGCUCAACCUUGGAAUUGCCUUUGAUACUGGCUAUCUUGAGUAUGGGAGAGGUAUGCGGAACUCCGAGUGUAGAGGUGAAAUUCGUAGAUAUUCGGAAGAACACCAGUGGCGAAGGCGGCAUACUGGCCCAUUACUGACGCUGAGGCUCGAAAGCGUGGGGAGCAAACAGGAUUAGAUACCCUGGUAGUCCACGCUGUAAACGAUGAGUGCUAGUUGUCGGCAUGCAUGCAUGUCGGUGACGCAGCUAACGCAUUAAGCACCUCCGCCGUGGGAGGUACGGUCGCGAAGAAUUAAAACUAACGAAAGGAAAGUUAGACGGCGUGAGACGUGCCGAACGGACGACCGACGAACGGGGAAGGUUAGGG
RNAcentral lists this ribosomal RNA (616 nucleotides) under uncultured bacterium. Its description in RNAcentral is "bacterial SSU rRNA". The stretch from base 1 to 518 matches the Rfam family "Bacterial small subunit ribosomal RNA", at positions 338 to 873 of the family's 1533-position model. The record is from RNAcentral.